RNAcentral lists this ribosomal RNA (464 nucleotides) under Vreelandella stevensii. RNAcentral's name for it is "partial 16S ribosomal RNA". It matches the Rfam family "Bacterial small subunit ribosomal RNA", at positions 338 to 795 of the family's 1533-position model. Lineage: Bacteria; Pseudomonadati; Pseudomonadota; Gammaproteobacteria; Oceanospirillales; Halomonadaceae. The record is from RNAcentral.
CCUAGGGUGGCAGCAGUGGGGAAUAUUGGACAAUGGGGGCAACCCUGAUCCAGCCAUGCCGCGUGUGUGAAGAAGGCCCUCGGGUUGUAAAGCACUUUCAGUGAGGAAGAACGCCUGGUGGUUAAUACCCAUCAGGUAAGACAUCACUCACAGAAGAAGCACCGGCUAACUCCGUGCCAGCAGCCGCGGUAAUACGGAGGGUGCGAGCGUUAAUCGGAAUUACUGGGCGUAAAGCGCGCGUAGGUGGCUUGAUAAGCCGGUUGUGAAAGCCCCGGGCUCAACCUGGGAACGGCAUCCGGAACUGUCCAGCUGGAGUGCAGGAGAGGAAGGUAGAAUUCCCGGUGUAGCGGUGAAAUGCGUAGAGAUCGGGCGGAAUACCAGUGGCGAAGGCGGCCUUCUGGACUGACACUGACACUGAGGUGCGAAAGCGUGGGUAGCAAACAGGAUUAGAUACCCUAGUAGUC